UUUGCCACGCAUGCGCAGCAGAUGGACGCCGGCCCCGAGGGCGGGGCUCAGCGCACCAGCCGAAACGCGGCCCCUCCCCCGCCGCUCCAGACCCGGGAGGAGGGCAGGGAGACCCUCCCUAUCUUGUUACUGGUACUCAGCCACUGGGGACACUUGACUGAAUGUUCGCCCCUAACUUACCCGGAAAACACGAGAACUAGUUCGAUGUCGUUUCAACCUCACCAAACUCUGCGGAAACUUAGGAAAUUGUCUCUAGUGUCUAGAUACAAUAAUUGUUAGACGGACUUGAAGUCUCUCACCUCCUGUUGUACGCCUCCCGGAAGCAACACCAGGAGUCCAACGGGAUCCCAAACCAGAGCCCAACCAGUAUCCUAUAAAGUCUUCAGAGAGGGAUCCCCUCCAGGCUGGGGAGAAACAGGACAACCUAACAAAACAGGGCCUGGACUCCUCCCUAAACAGACCACGUUUUUCUCCGCUCUUCCCCUUCCCACUCCCUGAAAUCUAGACUAAAACUCUUUUAAGAUAACUGCGAGAUAUAAAGAACGUCUAGAGCCUAAACGGCCCGUUGCCAGAUUCUACUCCUCAGGCCUCAAAUGUGAGCGUCCCAAACAUUCUAGAGCUGAACCUCGUACGCUCGCCCACCAGACUGCCGUGCUCGGGGCUUAGUAUCUCACGCGCGGCAGUUCAAGAACAUCAGACACGCUCAACAAACACUUGUUGCUUGACUGGUACAUUAUGACGGGUAACGCGUCCCACGUAUUUCUUCUUAGAGAUAUACAUCACGCUAUACGUUUCUGAAGAAUGGCUCGAUUUACAGGGGUUCCCACAACGAUUUGUCACAUAUAAAAGAGCGGGCAAGACCCCCGAUCACGUGAUACCGCCCCCAACUCCGGGCGGAAGAGGCCAGCGACAGCGCUGCACGAAGCGAGUGGGCGGGCGCUCGCGCCCGGCUAAAAGAUGGCUGCUGGCGCCGGGCAGCCACCGCCUGGGAGGUUACUGUAAGGCCCGCAGCUCCCGCCAGCUCCCGCGGACUGCUGCCGCCUCCUUACCAUGAAGCCAGUAAGUCGUCGCACGCUGGACUGGAUUUAUUCAGUGGUAAGUCCCGGGGAUCGCGGGCCCCCACCGUGUCGACUCACUGGGCCCGCAGGCUGAAAGGCCCUAUUUCUUCAGCACCCAGAAACUCCAAAAUCCAUUCCUGAAUUAAGCAUUUCACUCCCUCACCUCGACUCCGCCUCUUCCUGGAGGAUACGAUCUUCCGCUUCUUACUUGCUGCUUGCCAUCGUUUUAAUCUCCUGGGGCUGCAUCAUCUAUGCUUCUAUGGUGUCUGCAAGACGACAGCUAAGGAAGAAAUACCCAGACAAAAUCUUUGGGACG
Molecule: RNA transcript, 1374 nt
Organism: Pongo pygmaeus (Bornean orangutan)
Lineage: Eukaryota; Metazoa; Chordata; Mammalia; Primates; Hominidae
Gene: TZMP1
Gene name: transition zone microprotein 1
Exons: 3
Source: RefSeq, a predicted model, not a curated record